UCUGAAUGUUUUACUUUUUCGACCGAGGCGUCCGUCCCUUGCUCGGCGACCUGAACCACAGGGGGCGCGCUCCCUUGGCUCCGCUCGAGGGCCUUUGCCGCCCUAGCACGUCCGCAAGCGAGCAGCGGUCGGUUCCACGAGCAGCAUCGACGGUGCGGGAGCUGCCGAAGCAAGCAGCGGAAGCACGCCCGGCUCCCGCAGAUCUCACCGAGUGCCGCGGACGGCACCGCAUCUCGUGCUGACACCGCGUGACCGCGAUUUGCUUGUCGGCCGCGACGGGGGCCUGCCGUUGCGGGUCGGGGUGGUGCCCGCGAGGUGUUCGGGGUAUUGCACGAGCCGAGCAGAACGGUCUCUCAUUUUGGCACGGAUGGAUGGGGGCAUUCCAUUGGUGCGAGGGUUAAUAUUGUGAUUAUACUCCUUCUUUUUGCGGGAAUAUUGUGCUUAUACAGUUCUGGAUUGAAGCUAUGGACUAUAGAAUAACAGAUAGAUUGAAUUUCGAAGAUGGAACCUAUGGCCCGCGAAGAGUUGUCCUGAGUGUCUCCAGGGCAUCAUGUUGCACUGUUCAGAGCUUCAGCAUUCUGACCUUCUGAGAGUCGAAAACCAUCUCUUGAAGCAAGACGGAGUUUGAUCAUUCACGGUGGGUUCUCUAGUAUACCAUAGCUUUCUAUGCUUACGAACACUCCAUUUGUGCUUUCUCACCUUCUAUUAGCUUAUUAUUGGGUCAAACCAUAUUACCUGAUGGCUGAUGUGUUUGUCAUCUUUGAUAGUACCGUACGUCCUUUCAAACACAGUUACCACAUUUCUGUUAUCCACAGAAAUAGUAGUAACAUGUCACAAGCAUGCAAGUGUAAUGAAUGUAGCUGGAACUUCUUGCGGCAGCAUGCAGGGUCUACUGCUCAUCACAUUUUACCCCGCGACUCAUAAGAGCUAAUAGCAUGCACAGCACACAGCGGCAUCCGCAGAACUUUCAGUCAUGCAAAAGAUGUCAUGCUUGUGACAUGUUACUACCAUUUCUGUGGGCGCGGUUAAAUUUAGCCCUUGAUUUAAGUGGCUCUAGCACUUCUGAAGUAACACAAGCGAGCUUGAAAAUUGAUGAACUUUUCAAGGGCAGUCAUGCCAAUUUCCAUCCAUUGGGUGGUUUGAGCACAUCCGGUCCAAACGCGUCGACCAACGGACUACUGAACUCUGUAAAGCGACUAGCAGUGACUCGUGUCUAAUUUAGCGGCGCGUGGAGGUUCUUCUGUUCUUGUGGUUAUCUUUCAACCAUGGAUAUAGUAUAGUGAUAUUCAGAUGUUCCACGGGUGAGCUCCCUUCCCUAAUGUGCCCG
This is a long non-coding RNA of Hordeum vulgare subsp. vulgare (domesticated barley), 1327 nucleotides long. RefSeq lists it as uncharacterized. The record is from RefSeq and is a predicted model, not a curated record. The transcript has 5 exons. NCBI's taxonomy places the organism in Eukaryota, Viridiplantae, Streptophyta, Magnoliopsida, Poales, Poaceae.